UGUGAGGGUUAACAGACAGUAGUCAGGCUUGCCUUUCAGUCAGGUGUCAGUGUGAGGGUUAACAGACAGUAGUCAGGCUUGCCUUUCAGUCAGUUGUCAGUGUGAGGGUUAACAGACAGUAGUCAGGAAUGGUCUUCAGUCAGGUGUCAGUGUGAGGGUUAACAGACAGUAGUCAGGCUUGCCUUUCAGUCAGGUGUCAGUGUGAGGGUUAACAGACAGUAGUCAGGCUUUCCUUUCAGUCAGGUGUCAGUGUGAGGGUUAACAGACAGUAGUCAGUCUUGCUUUUCAGCCAGGUGUCAGUGUGAGGGUUAACAGACAGUAGUCAGGCUUGCCUUUCAGUCAGGUGUCAGUGUGAGGGUUAACAGACAGUAGUCAGGCUUGAUCUUCAGUCAGGUGUCAGUGUGAGGGUUAACAGACAGUAGUCAGGCUUGCCUUUCAGUCAGGUGUCAGUGUGAGGGUUAUAAGACAGUAGUCAGGAAUGGUCUUCAGUCAGGUGUCAGUGUGAGGGUUAACAGACAGUAGUCAGGCUUGCCUUUCAGUCAGGUGUCAGUGUGAGGGUUAACAGACAGUAGUCAGGCUUGCCUUUCAGUCAGGUGUCAGUGUGAGGGUUAACAGACAGUAGUCAGGCUUGCAUUUCAGUCAGGUGUCAGUGUGAGUGUUAACAGACAGUAGUCAGGCUUGCCUUUCAGUCAGGUGUCAGUGUGAGGGUUAAAAGACAGUAGGCAGGCUUGCCUUUCAGUCAGGUGUCAGUGUGAGGGUUAACAGACAGUAGUCAGGCUUGCCUUUCAGUCAGGUGUCAGUGUGAGGGUUAACAUACAGUAGUCAGGCUUGCCUUUCAGUCAGGUGUCAGUGUGAGGGUUAACAGACAGUAGUCAGGAAUGAUCUUCAGUCAGGUGUCAGUGUGAGGGUUAACAGACAGUAGUCAGGCUUGCCUUUCAGUCAGGUGUCAGUGUGAGGGUUAACAGACAGUAGUCAGGCUUGCCUUUCAGUCAGGUGUCAGUGUGAGGGUUAACAGACAGUAGUCAGGCUUGACUUUCAGUCAGGUGUCAGUGUGAGGGUUAACAGACAGUAGUCAGGCUUGCCUUUCAGUCAGGUGUCAGUGUGAGGGUUAACAGACAGUAGUCAGGAAUGAUCUUCAGUCAGGUGUCAGUGUGAGGGUUAACAGACAGUAGUCAGGCUUGAUCUUCAGUCAGGUGUCAGUGUGAGGGUUAACAGACAGUAGUCAGGCUUGCCUUUCAGUCAGGUGUCAGUGUGAGGGUUAACAGACAGUAGUCAGGCUUUCCUUUCAGUCAGGUGUCAGUGUGAGGGUUAACAGACAGUAGUCAGGAAUGAUCUUCAGUCAGGUGUCAGUGUGAGGGUUAACAGACAGUAGUCAGUCUUGCUUUUCAGUCAGGUGUCAGUGUGAGGGUUAACAGACAGUAGUCAGGCUUGCCUUUCAGUCAGGUGUCAGUGUGAGGGUUAACAGACAGUAGUCAGGCUUGAUCUUCAGUCAGGUGUCAGUGUGAGGGUUAACAGACAGUAGUCAGGCUUGCCUUUCAGUCAGGUGUCAGUGUGAGGGUUAUAAGACAGUAGUCAGGAAUGAUCUUCAGUCAGGUGUCAGUGUGAGGGUUAACAGACAGUAGUCAGGCUUGCCUUUCAGUCAGGUGUCAGUGUGAGGGUUAACAGACAGUAGUCAGGCUUGCCUUUCAGUCAGUUGUCAGUGUGAGGGUUAACAGACAGUAGUCAGGAAUGAUCUUCAGUCAGGUGUUAGUUUGAGGGUUAACAGACAGUUUUCAAGCUUGCCUUUCAGUCAGGUGUCAGUGUGAGUGUUAACAGACAGUAGUCAGGCUUGCCUUUCAGUCAGGUGUCAGUGUGAGGGUUAACAGACAGUAUUCAGGCUUGCCUUUCAGUCAGGUGUCAGUGUGAGGGUUAACAGACAGUAGGCAGGCUUGCCUUUCAGUCAGGUGUCAGUGUGAGGGUUAACAGACAGUAGUCAGGCUUGCCUUUCAGUCAGGUGUCAGUGUGAGGGUUAACAGACAGUAGUCAGGCUUGCCUUUCAGUCAGGUGUCAGUGUGAGGGUUAACAGACAGUAGUCAGGCUUGAUCUUCAGUCAGGUGUCAGUGUGAGGGUUAACAGACAGUAGUCAGGCUUGCCUUUCAGUCAGGUGUCAGUGUGAGGGUUAACAUACAGUAGUCAGGAAUGAUCUUCAGUCAGGUGUCAGUAUGAGGGUUAACAGACAGUAGUCAGGCUUGCCUUUCAGUCAGGUGUCAGUGUGAGGGUUAACAAACAGUAGUCAGGCUUGCCUUUCAGUCAGGUGUCCGUGUGAGGGUUAACAGACAGUAGUCAGGCUUGCCUUUCAGUCAGGUGUCAGUGUGAGGGUUAACAUACAGUAGUCAGGAAUGAUCUUCAGUCAGGUGUCAGUGUGAGGGUUAACAGACAGUAGUCAGGCUUGCCUUUGAGUCAGGUGUCAGUGUGAGGGUUAACAGACAGUAAGUAGUCAGGCUUGCCUUUCAGUCA
Molecule: long non-coding RNA, 2496 nt
Organism: Salvelinus fontinalis (brook trout)
Lineage: Eukaryota; Metazoa; Chordata; Actinopteri; Salmoniformes; Salmonidae
Exons: 3
Source: RefSeq, a predicted model, not a curated record